GAUGAACGCUGGCGGCGUGCCUAAUACAUGCAAGUCGAGCGAACAGACGAGGAGCUUGCUCCUCUGACGUUAGCGGCGGACGGGUGAGUAACACGUGGAUAACCUACCUAUAAGACUGGGAUAACUUCGGGAAACCGGAGCUAAUACCGGAUAAUAUAUUGAACCGCAGGGUUCAAUAGUGAAAGACGGUUUUGCUGUCACUUAUAGGUGGAUCCGCGCCGCAUUAGCUAGUUGGUAAGGUAACGGCUUACCAAGGCAACGAUGCGUAGCCGACCUGAGAGGGUGAUCGGCCACACUGGAACUGAGACACGGUCCAGACUCCUACGGGAGGCAGCAGUAGGGAAUCUUCCGCAAUGGGCGAAAGCCUGACGGAGCAACGCCGCGUGAGUGAUGAAGGUCUUCGGAUCGUAAAACUCUGUUAUUAGGGAAGAACAAAUGUGUAAGUAACUAUGCACGUCUUGACGGUACCUAAUCAGAAAGCCACGGCUAACUACGUG
Molecule: ribosomal RNA, 497 nt
Filed under: uncultured bacterium
Lineage: Bacteria
Description: partial 16S ribosomal RNA
Rfam family: Bacterial small subunit ribosomal RNA
Source: RNAcentral